AGCGAACGCUGGCGGUAGGCCUAACACAUGCAAGUCGAACGAACUCUUCGGAGUUAGUGGCGGACGGGUGAGUAACACGUGGGAACGUGCCUUUAGGUUCGGAAUAACUCAGGGAAACUUGUGCUAAUACCGAAUGUGCCCUUCGGGGGAAAGAUUUAUCGCCUUUAGAGCGGCCCGCGUCUGAUUAGCUAGUUGGUGAGGUAAAGGCUCACCAAGGCGACGAUCAGUAGCUGGUCUGAGAGGAUGAUCAGCCACAUUGGGACUGAGACACGGCCCAAACUCCUACGGGAGGCAGCAGUGGGGAAUCUUGCGCAAUGGGCGAAAGCCUGACGCAGCCAUGCCGCGUGAAUGAUGAAGGUCUUAGGAUUGUAAAAUUCUUUCACCGGGGACGAUAAUGACGGUACCCGGAGAAGAAGCCCCGGCUAACUUCGUG
RNAcentral lists this ribosomal RNA (433 nucleotides) under uncultured bacterium. RNAcentral describes it as "partial 16S ribosomal RNA". It matches the Rfam family "Bacterial small subunit ribosomal RNA", at positions 29 to 507 of the family's 1533-position model. The record is from RNAcentral.